GAUAACUGGCUGAUGGAGUUCACAUCAACGAGAAGUAGCACCUCGAUGUCGGUUCUUCGCCACCUGGGUGCAGUAUGUUCUCGGGGUUGGGCUAUUCAUCCAUUAAAACAGUUGGUGAGCUGGGUUAGAACAUCGUGAGGCAGUUG
RNAcentral lists this non-coding RNA (146 nucleotides) under Amborella trichopoda. Its description in RNAcentral is "Bacterial large subunit ribosomal RNA". It matches the Rfam family "Bacterial large subunit ribosomal RNA", at positions 2473 to 2632 of the family's 2925-position model. Lineage: Eukaryota; Viridiplantae; Streptophyta; Magnoliopsida; Amborellales; Amborellaceae. The record is from Rfam by way of RNAcentral.